This 72-nucleotide transfer RNA is filed under the name Camelus bactrianus (Bactrian camel). It matches the Rfam family "tRNA". From Rfam's summary of the family: Transfer RNA (tRNA) molecules are approximately 80 nucleotides in length. Their secondary structure includes four short double-helical elements and three loops (D, anti-codon, and T loops). Lineage: Eukaryota; Metazoa; Chordata; Mammalia; Artiodactyla; Camelidae. RNAcentral also lists the same sequence under 2 other names. The record is from Rfam by way of RNAcentral.
GUGGGUAUAGCUCAGUGGUAGAAUGCAUGCCUAGCAUACAUAAAAUCUUGAGUUCAAUCCCCAGUACCUCCA